This 786-nucleotide ribosomal RNA is filed under the name Bacillus cereus. RNAcentral's name for it is "bacterial SSU rRNA". It matches the Rfam family "Bacterial small subunit ribosomal RNA", at positions 17 to 789 of the family's 1533-position model. Lineage: Bacteria; Bacillati; Bacillota; Bacilli; Caryophanales; Bacillaceae. The record is from RNAcentral.
UCCUGGCUCAGGAUGAACGCUGGCGGCGUGCCUAAUACAUGCAAGUCGAGCGAAUGGAUUAAGAGCUUGCUCUUAUGAAGUUAGCGGCGGACGGGUGAGUAACACGUGGGUAACCUGCCCAUAAGACUGGGAUAACUCCGGGAAACCGGGGCUAAUACCGGAUAACAUUUUGAACCGCAUGGUUCGAAAUUGAAAGGCGGCUUCGGCUGUCACUUAUGGAUGGACCCGCGUCGCAUUAGCUAGUUGGUGAGGUAACGGCUCACCAAGGCAACGAUGCGUAGCCGACCUGAGAGGGUGAUCGGCCACACUGGGACUGAGACACGGCCCAGACUCCUACGGGAGGCAGCAGUAGGGAAUCUUCCGCAAUGGACGAAGUCUGACGGAGCAACGCCGCGUGAGUGAUGAAGGCUUUCGGGUCGUAAAACUCUGUUGUUAGGGAAGAACAAGUGCUAGUUGAAUAAGCUGGCACCUUGACGGUACCUAACCAGAAAGCCACGGCUAACUACGUGCCAGCAGCCGCGGUAAUACGUAGUGGCAAGCGUUAUCCGGAUUAUUGGGCGUAAGCGCGCGCAGGUGGUUCUUAGUCUGAUGUGAAAGCCCACGGCUCAACCGUGGAGGGUCAUUGGAAACUGGGAGACUUGAGUGCAGAAGAGGAAAGUGGAAUUCCAUGUGUAGCGGUGAAAUGCGUAGAGAUAUGGAGGAACACCAGUGGCGAAGGCGACUUUCUGGUCUGUAACUGACACUGAGGCGCGAAAGCGUGGGGAGCAAACAGGAUUAGAUACCCUG